UACGUAGGGGCCAAGCGUUGUCCGGAUUUAUUGGGCGUAAAGAGCGUGUAGGCGGCCAGGUAGGUCUGCUGUGAAAACUCGAGGCUCAACCUCGAGACGUCGGCGGAAACCGUCUGGCUAGAGUCCGGAAGAGGAGAGUGGAAUUCCUGGUGUAGCGGUGAAAUGCGCAGAUAUCAGGAAGAACACCCGUGGCGAAGGCGGCUCUCUGGGACGGUACUGACGCUGAGACGCGAAAGCGUGGGGAGCGAACAGG
This 253-nucleotide ribosomal RNA is filed under the name uncultured bacterium. RNAcentral's name for it is "partial 16S ribosomal RNA". It matches the Rfam family "Bacterial small subunit ribosomal RNA", at positions 524 to 776 of the family's 1533-position model. The record is from RNAcentral.